UAAGUAGUGGCAAGGCUGCUAGAUGGAUGGCUCGGCUUGGGCUGCGACGAAGGACGUGGCAAGCUGCGAAAAGGCUAGGGGAGAUGCAUGCAAUCUUUGAUCCUAGCAUCUCCGAAUACGAGAACGGGCUAUCCGAAGAGGAUAGCAUUCAGCUGCAAAAAGCAGCUGAAGGUCCACGCCGGGAAUUGAAACAUCUUAGUACCGGCAGGAAAAGAAAGCAAAAUGCGAUUCCCUGAGUAGCAGCGAGCGAAAGGGGAGGAAGGCAAACCGAAUCCUUUAGCGAAAGCUAAAGGAGAUGUGGAGUUGAGAGUGGGCAGGAGCACAGCUAAGCUGCCGAAGCCGAAGUUGCCUGGAAUGGCACACCAUAGAGGGUGAAAGUCCCGUAGGCGUAGGCAGUAUGCUGAUUUCCUGCUCCAAGAGUAGCGUAUCCUGGUUUGGAUGCGCGAAGGCGGCUCAACUAAGAGCCAACCUUAAAUAUGAGCCCAAGUCCGAUAGCGCACUAGUACCGUGAGGGAAUGCUGAAAAGAACCCUUGGCAGGGAGUGAAAAGACCUGAAAUCUAGCAGCCAUAGUGUGUUACAGCUCCCUUUUGGGAGUUGUAACGUCCGUUUUGAAGAACGGGCCAGGGAGUUAGGCUAAGUGGCGAGGUUAAGCCUCUUUUGAGGCGGAGCCGUAGCGAAAGCGAGUCUGCUUAUUCCAGCUUUAUGCUGGAAGAGGCAGAGCAUCCGAAAGGGUGUAAGUCACUUGGCCUAGACCAGAAACCAGGCGACCUACUCCUGGCCAGGGUGAAGCCUUCCUAACGGAAGGUGGAGGCCCGAACCAGUGUUGCGGGCAAGCACUUGGAUGAGCUGGGAGUAGGGGUGAAAAGCCAAUCUAGCCUGGCGAUGGCUGGUUCCUGCCGAAAUAUACCUCAGUAUAGUCUCUUGCUAGCUUGCUAGCGAGGUAGAGCUACGGAUUGGGCAUGCAGGCAGCUUUGCUGUCGGUGCCCUUUCCAACUCCGAAUGCGCUAGCAGCGUAGCAAGGGAAACAGGGCUGGGGGGUAAGCUUCCAGUCCGAGACCCGAACAAGGGAGACUGGGGUUAAGGUCCUUAAAUGCUGGCUAAGUGCAAAGCAAGGCAGUCCUGAUCCUGAGACAGCGGGGAGGUAGGCUUAGAAGCAGCCAUCCUUUAAAGAAAGCGUAACAGCUCACCCGUCGAGGAUCAGGGCGCCGAAAAUCGACGGGGCUAAGCCAGCUACCGAGACCCCAGCGUUCCUCGAAAGAGGAACGGGUAGGCAGGCGUGCUGCUUGGGCAGAAGCAUGCUUGUAAGAGCAUGUGGACCGAGCAGCAAUGAGAAUCCUGGCGCUAGUAGGAUCCUACUCAGGUGAGAACCCUGAGGGUCGGAAGGGCAAGGGUUCCUUGGCAAUAUCGAUUAGCCAAGGGUUAGCCGGUCCUAACCCUGCCCUUAACUGAGGCAGGGGAAGGGGAAGCAGGUUAAUAUUCCUGCGCUACUUAAGACCGUUGAAGCUGUUAGGGACGCUUCGGGAUAAGCAGAGUGUAUCUCGUAAGAGACAUCCCUUGCAAGAAGGCCAUGGAGUAUCGUAAUGAUGAGAAGUGGCUGAAUUGCAAGGGCGAAAGUCUGCUGAUUCCUGGAGCCAGUGAAAACCUAACAGCAGAGGUCUUAAGUAACCGUACCCAGAACCUGCACUAGUGCCCUCCCUGAGUAGGGGAAGACCUGAAAGUUUAAGGCUGGUAAGGGAAAUCGGCAAAUUGGCCUCGUAUCUUCGGUAGAAGAGGUGCCUAUGCUUGUGCCUUUGAUUCUUUUGAAUUGAAGGUGCAAGCGUAGGUCGCAGUGACAAGGGCGGCCCGACUGUUUAUUAAAAACGUAGCCAAGCGCAAAGCCGAAAGGCUUGGUACGCUUGGUGAGGCCUGCCCAGUGGUGGUGUUUGAAGGCUCCUUUCAAGGAGCUUAAGACCCACCAAACGGCGGGCCUAACCUUGAGGCUCUUAAGGUAGCGUAAUGCCUUGUCGUCUGAAUGGCGACGUGCAUGAAUGGCUUAACGAGGUCGCCACUGUCCCUACCAGCCAGCUUCCGAACGUCUCUUCCUGGUGAACAGGCCAGGGACGCCCAGUGGGAAGCGAAGACCUUGUGGACCUUUACUGCAGCCUGUUGUUGUGUUUUGCGAUUGGGUACAAAGAGUAGCUAGGAGGGAUGAAAUGAAGCUUCGGCGUAGUGGACCGAAAGUGUAACACUAGCUACCCUUUUGCAAAACACUCACUCGAAAGAGGACAGCAGCAGGUGGGCAGUUUGGCUGGGGCGGCACCCUCCCGAAAAGAUAUCGGGAGGGCCCAAAGGUGAGCUCAGCGUAGUUGGAAACUACGCGUAGAGUGCAGGGGCAAAAGCUCGCCUGACUGUGGCUCGAAAAGAAAGAGCCGCAGGCGCGAAAGCGUGGCCCAGCGAACCCUAAUGGCUCUUUAGUGGAGCCUUAGGAUGACAGAAAAGGUACCCCAAGGAUAACAGACUGGUCGCGCCCGAUAGUUCACAUUGACGGCGCGGUUUGGUACUCCGCUGUCGGCUCUCCCUAUCCUGGCUGUGCACAAGCAGCCAAGGGUGCCGGGGUUCACGCAUUAAAAGGGAUCGUGAGCUGGGUUGAGAACGUCGUGAGACAGUUUGGUUGAUAUCUACUGGGCGUGUUGUUGCCUGAGUGGAACCAAGCCGUAGUACGAGAGGAACCGGCUUGGGGGGCCUCUGGUCUAGCGGUUGUCCUAACAGGGCAGGCCGCGCAGCUACGCCCUGGUGGAUAAGGGCUGAAUGCAUCUAAGCCCGAAGCCACCCGCAAAAAGAGGCAACAAAGGCCGUCCAAGAAGAGGACGUUGAUAGGGCCGGGGUGUAAGUGCCGAGACGCAAGU
Molecule: ribosomal RNA, 2886 nt
Filed under: Candidatus Pacearchaeota archaeon ex4484_31
Lineage: Archaea; Nanobdellati
Description: bacterial LSU rRNA
Rfam family: Archaeal large subunit ribosomal RNA
Source: RNAcentral